AAUAGAUACCCAGGUAGUCCACGCCGUAAACGAUGGAUACUAGCUGUUUGAGCGCAAGUUUGAGUGGCUAAGCGAAAGUGAUAAGUAUCCCACCUGGGGAGUACGGGCGCAAGCCUGAAACUCAAAGGAAUUGACGGGGGCCCGCACAAGCGGUGGAGCAUGUGGUUUAAUUCGAUGAUACGCGAGGAACCUUACCAGGGCUUAAAUGUAGAUUGACGUAUUUGGAAACAGAUAUUUCUUCGGACAAUUUACAAGGUGCUGCAUGGUUGUCGUCAGCUCGUGCCGUGAGGUGUCAGGUUAAGUCCUAUAACGAGCGCAACCCCUGUUGUUAGUUGCCAGCGAGUAAUGUCGGGAACUCUAGCAAGACUGCCAGUGUAAACUGUGAGGAAGGUGGGGAUGACGUCAAAUCAUCACGGCCCUUACGUCCUGGGCCACACACGUGCUACAAUGGCCGGUACAGAGAGCAGCCACUUAGCGAUAAGGAGCGAAUCUAUAAAGCCGGUCACAGUUCGGAUCGGAGUCUGA
This 525-nucleotide ribosomal RNA is filed under the name uncultured bacterium. RNAcentral's name for it is "bacterial SSU rRNA". It matches the Rfam family "Bacterial small subunit ribosomal RNA", at positions 777 to 1308 of the family's 1533-position model. The record is from RNAcentral.